This 254-nucleotide ribosomal RNA is filed under the name uncultured bacterium. RNAcentral's name for it is "partial 16S ribosomal RNA". It matches the Rfam family "Bacterial small subunit ribosomal RNA", at positions 524 to 776 of the family's 1533-position model. The record is from RNAcentral.
UACGAAGGGGGCUAGCGUUGUUCGGAAUUACUGGGCGUAAAGCGUGCGCAGGCGGUUAUUUAAGUCAGGUGUGAAAGCCCUGGGCUUAACCUAGGAAUUGCGCUUGAGACUGGAUAGCUUGGAGUGCGGCAGAGGGAGGUGGAAUUCCACGUGUAGCAGUGAAAUGCGUAGAGAUGUGGAGGAACACCGAUGGCGAAGGCAGCCUCCUGGGCCAGCACUGACGCUCAUGCACGAAAGCGUGGGGAGCAAACAGG